Molecule: ribosomal RNA, 366 nt
Filed under: Burkholderia sp. 283S
Lineage: Bacteria; Pseudomonadati; Pseudomonadota; Betaproteobacteria; Burkholderiales; Burkholderiaceae
Description: bacterial SSU rRNA
Rfam family: Bacterial small subunit ribosomal RNA
Source: RNAcentral
AGGUGGAUGUGCCCGAAAGGGAGCCAUCACACAGGUGCUGCAUGGCUGUCGUCAGCUCGUGUCGUGAGAUGUUGGGUUAAGUCCCGCAACGAGCGCAACCCUUGUCCCUAGUUGCUACGCAAGAGCACUCCAGGGAGACUGCCGGUGACAAACCGGAGGAAGGUGGGGAUGACGUCAAGUCCUCAUGGCCCUUAUGGGUAGGGCUUCACACGUCAUACAAUGGUCGGAACAGAGGGUUGCCAAGCCGCGAGGUGGAGCCAAUCCCAGAAAACCGAUCGUAGUCCGGAUCGCAGUCUGCAACUCGACUGCGUGAAGCUGGAAUCGCUAGUAAUCGCGGAUCAGCAUGCCGCGGUGAAUACGUUCCCG